GGUUGUUCGGGCACCAGGUGAGCAGAGUGCAGUAUAUUCAGUCACUCCGCUGUCUCGGGAAGGGCCGGAGAAACAGGUGCAUCGGUCAGAAAUGCGUAAGGCAUUUUAUGAACCUGGAGCGGAAGAUGUGGGCCCUCCUGCUCUUAGUGAAGUGUUUAACGGAGGGGCUGGUACUGACUCUGCAUUGGAGAGGGAUUCUGCCUCUGAUAGUGAGUCUGUGUCGAUUGUAGUAUUGCAUAAUGAUGAUGAGGUUGUCCCUUUAAGUGCUGGUGGUGAGGACCACUCAGAGUGUUUGCUUGUCUCUGGGGAGCAGCCGUUGAGCUUGGGGCGUCCAAAGAGAAGUACAGCAGGUCAACAUUCAAACCCUUAUAGAUUACCAAGAUCUGUGGCUGCAGUUAGUGAAGAUUCAGCUUAAAGAAUAAAUUUGUUAUUUUGGGAAUUUAUUGUUAUCGUCGGGUCGCCGAUUCAUUUGGGGGGGAUAGAAUGUAGCCAGGCAAGGCCUACCAGUACGGGGGUGUGGUUGGCUAAUUAGUCCAAGACUUUUUAAGCAGGCACUGGGCAAGAGGCCUUGAAAUGUGGGCCUUGUUUUGAAAGCACAUGGGAUGGUGCUGCUUUGUUUGGCUAUGUGGUGAAUUUGCCCCAGAUGAGGUAGGCCAAGUUUAUUAUUUUUGUUUUGGUUGAAUUGUUUAUUUAAGGGGAUUUAUUUUGAUUGUAUGGGAAAAUUCUGUUUGUUUAUUUAGAUGCAGAUGAAUUGAGUAAUGCUAACUGGGUGUUUUUGACACUCUGAUCUGGAUAAAUGUUCAAAAAACCAACUGAUUGUUAUAUCUGCUAUUUGCCAAUGAAGGUAAAUGUAUUUAAUAUUUUUAAAUAAAAAUGAGUGUACAGUUGGUAACCAUGGUUUUAAAUGUUUAGUGUUUUUGUAGUGUUUUAGAUGUGGAUAAAACCUGGAAUGCUGAUUGGCUGCUUUUUGGGUAGCUGAUAAAGGUAAAGUUGUGUUUUUGGUAUCCUACUUUUAAGCUAAUAAAUGAAAUGGGGCAGUUGGUAACUGUGUUUAAGAAAAUGUUAAUGUUUGAAUAAAAUAAAUGAUGUAUUGUUAAUUUUUGUUUGUUUUUCUGUUUUAGUUAAGUCGAUUGCUGUUUCUCCCGUGUUGUUUUUGUUUAGUUCCCUGGUCGGCCGGUCUCAGAAGUGUGCUGCAUGGUGGCAGCAAGUGUACAUUGUGAACUGGUUGUGUACGAGUCCGGUUGGCUGGGGUUCUGUUAUCUUUUUCUUUUGUUUCUUUUUUUUAUUGAUGACCAUCUUCCCAGCCUUAUGUCAUUAGCUCGACUCAUUGUGAUUGUGAUUGUGUUCUGUGUGUGCAUCCCUUUGGGGUAUGAGAUCCAUGUUUGCUGUGGUUGUUUUGAGUUAUGAGUGAAGGGUUAGGUUUGGAGUUGUUUUCUAUUUUGAAUUGUGGUGUUUAUUUCCAUUGAUUUCUCUUUUUUUUCCUUUUUACUGUCAUUAAAAAAUGGAUGUUUCCUUAUACCUUAAAGGUUUGCCACACGCACCGUAACCAGCUACUAUGGAGAGUUUUUGAGCUGGUGGUUAACAUCUUUGAGAGCUGAGAUUAAUUUUGAAUGAGUUAUGUAAAUAAAUCAUUUCAUUUCUAUGUUUAAUUGUGUACAUUAUUUGUGCUUUAUUGUUUGUAAUAAACCUUUUUUGUUGUACUUUGA
Non-coding RNA from Misgurnus anguillicaudatus (oriental weatherfish), 1706 nucleotides. Lineage: Eukaryota; Metazoa; Chordata; Actinopteri; Cypriniformes; Cobitidae. The record is from RefSeq and is a predicted model, not a curated record.